AACGAACGCUGGCGGCAUGCCUAACACAUGCAAGUCGAACGAGUGCCUUCGGGUGCUAGUGGCGCACGGGUGCGUAACGCGUGGGAAUCUGCCCUUUGGUUCGGAAUAACAGUUGGAAACGACUGCUAAUACCGGAUGAUGACGAAAGUCCAAAGAUUUAUCGCCAGAGGAUGAGCCCGCGUAGGAUUAGCUAGUUGGUGUGGUAAAGGCGCACCAAGGCGACGAUCCUUAGCUGGUCUGAGAGGAUGAUCAGCCACACUGGGACUGAGACACGGCCCAGACUCCUACGGGAGGCGGCAGUGGGGAAUAUUGGACAAUGGGCGAAAGCCUGAUCCAGCAAUGCCGCGUGAGUGAUGAAGGCCUUAGGGUUGUAAAGCUCUUUUACCCGGGAUGAUAAUGACAGUACCGGGAGAAUAAGCUCCGGCUAACUCCGUGCCAGCAGCCGCGGUAAUACGGAGGGAGCUAGCGUUGUUCGGAAUUACUGGGCGUAAAGCGCACGUAGGCGGCUUUGUAAGUUAGAGGUGAAAGCCUGGAGCUCAACUCCAGAACUGCCUUUAAGACUGCAUCGCUUGAAUCCAGGAGAGGUGAGUGGAAUUCCGAGUGUAGAGGUGAAAUUCGUAGAUAUUCGGAAGAACACCAGUGGCGAAGGCGGCUCACUGGACUGGUAUUGACGCUGAGGUGCGAAAGCGUGGGGAGCAAACAGG
RNAcentral lists this ribosomal RNA (704 nucleotides) under uncultured Sphingomonas sp. RNAcentral's name for it is "bacterial SSU rRNA". It matches the Rfam family "Bacterial small subunit ribosomal RNA", at positions 28 to 776 of the family's 1533-position model. Lineage: Bacteria; Pseudomonadati; Pseudomonadota; Alphaproteobacteria; Sphingomonadales; Sphingomonadaceae. The record is from RNAcentral.